Molecule: long non-coding RNA, 219 nt
Filed under: Apteryx rowi (Okarito brown kiwi)
Lineage: Eukaryota; Metazoa; Chordata; Aves; Apterygiformes; Apterygidae
Description: lncRNA (ENSARWG00000009357.1)
Source: RNAcentral
CACGGUCCCCCCGACCCCGGCGCCCCGGGCGGCGGCGGAGCGCGGAUGGCGGCGGAGCGCGGCGCGGGGUUGCGCAUCUUCCGCGACAUAUUAAGAAGAGCAGACAAGAAUGGGCUGAGAAAUGGCAAUAUCAUUUAGCACGCUCUGAUCUGAACCUCCUGCAGCAGGUAUGGACUAUCAUCUGCUGCUUCUGAAAAGGCAAGGCACACAGCAGAUCCC